CCCUUAGAUGUUCUGAACCGCACGCGUGUUACACUGAUGCAUUCAACGAGCUUUACCUUGGCCGAGAGGCCUGGGAAAUCUUUUUAGCAUGCAUCGUGAUAGGGAUUGAUUAUUGCAAUUAUUAAUCAUGAACGAGGAAUUCCUAGUAAACGCAUUUCAUCAAAAUGCAUUGAUUACGUCCCUGCCCUUUGUACACACCGCCCGUCGCACCUACCGAUUGAGUGGUCCGGUGAAAUCUCCGGACUGGCGUGAGUCGGAGCAAUCUGACAAACGCCGGAAAGUUGAUUAAACCUUACCAUUUAGAGGAAGGUGAAGUCGUAACA
This 323-nucleotide ribosomal RNA is filed under the name uncultured eukaryote. RNAcentral describes it as "partial 18S ribosomal RNA". It matches the Rfam family "Eukaryotic small subunit ribosomal RNA", at positions 1470 to 1796 of the family's 1831-position model. The record is from RNAcentral.